CCUACGGGAGGCAGCAGUGGGGAAUAUUGCACAAUGGGGGAAACCCUGAUGCAGCGACGCCGCGUGAGUGAAGAAGUAUUUCGGUAUGUAAAGCUCUAUCAGCAGGGAAGAAGAAAGACGGUACCUGACUAAGAAGCCCCGGCUAACUACGUGCCAGCAGCCGCGGUAAUACGUAGGGGGCAAGCGUUAUCCGGAUUUACUGGGUGUAAAGGGAGCGUAGACGGCUGUGCAAGUCUGAAGUGAAAGCCCAGGGCUCAACCCUGGGACUGCUUUGGAAACUGUGGAGCUAGAGUGCUGGAGAGGUAAGUGGAAUUCCUAGUGUAGCGGUGAAAUGCGUAGAUAUUAGGAGGAACACCAGUGGCGAAGGCGGCUUACUGGACAGUAACUGACGUUGAGGCUCGAAAGCGUGGGGAGCAAACAGGAUUAGAUACCCGAGUA
Molecule: ribosomal RNA, 438 nt
Filed under: uncultured bacterium
Lineage: Bacteria
Description: bacterial SSU rRNA
Rfam family: Bacterial small subunit ribosomal RNA
Source: RNAcentral